This 360-nucleotide ribosomal RNA is filed under the name uncultured Planctomycetota bacterium. RNAcentral's name for it is "bacterial SSU rRNA". It matches the Rfam family "Bacterial small subunit ribosomal RNA", at positions 564 to 922 of the family's 1533-position model. Lineage: Bacteria; Pseudomonadati; Planctomycetota. The record is from RNAcentral.
AGCGUGCGUAGGCGGCUUGGUAGGUGAGAUGUGAAAGCCCACGGCUCAACCGUGGAAUUGCGUUUCAAACCCCCAAGCUCGAGGAAGAUAGGGGUGAUGGGAACUUAUGGUGGAGCGGUGAAAUGCGUUGAUAUCAUAGGGAACACCGGUGGCGAAAGCGCAUCACUGGAUCUUUUCUGACGCUGAGGCACGAAAGCUAGGGUAGCGAACGGGAUUAGAUACCCCGGUAGUCCUAGCCGUAAACGAUGAACACUGGGUUGAGGGGACUUCCACAUCCUCUCGGCCGUAGCGAAAGCGUUAAGUGUUCCGCCUGGGGAGUAUGGUCGCAAGGCUGAAACUCAAAGGAUUUGACGGGGGCUC